ACGUAGGGGGCAAGCGUUGUCCGGAUUUACUGGGUGUAAAGGGCGCGCAGGCGGAAUGGAAAGUCAGUGGUGAAAUCCUACAGCUUAACUGUAGAACUGCCUUUGAUACUUUCAUUCUUGAGUUCGGGAGAGAGAGACGGAAUUCCAGGUGUAGUGGUGAAAUACGUAGAUAUCUGGAAGAACACCAGUUGCGAAGGCGGUCUCUUGGUCCGAUACUGACGCUGAGGCGCGAAAGCGUGGGGAGCAAACAG
RNAcentral lists this ribosomal RNA (251 nucleotides) under uncultured prokaryote. RNAcentral's name for it is "partial 16S ribosomal RNA". It matches the Rfam family "Bacterial small subunit ribosomal RNA", at positions 525 to 775 of the family's 1533-position model. The record is from RNAcentral.